This 455-nucleotide ribosomal RNA is filed under the name Klebsiella quasipneumoniae subsp. quasipneumoniae. RNAcentral describes it as "bacterial SSU rRNA". It matches the Rfam family "Bacterial small subunit ribosomal RNA", at positions 1 to 454 of the family's 1533-position model. The record is from RNAcentral. Lineage: Bacteria; Pseudomonadati; Pseudomonadota; Gammaproteobacteria; Enterobacterales; Enterobacteriaceae. RNAcentral also lists the same sequence under 1 other name.
AAAUUGAAGAGUUUGAUCAUGGCUCAGAUUGAACGCUGGCGGCAGGCCUAACACAUGCAAGUCGAGCGGUAGCACAGAGAGCUUGCUCUCGGGUGACGAGCGGCGGACGGGUGAGUAAUGUCUGGGAAACUGCCUGAUGGAGGGGGAUAACUACUGGAAACGGUAGCUAAUACCGCAUAAUGUCGCAAGACCAAAGUGGGGGACCUUCGGGCCUCAUGCCAUCAGAUGUGCCCAGAUGGGAUUAGCUAGUAGGUGGGGUAACGGCUCACCUAGGCGACGAUCCCUAGCUGGUCUGAGAGGAUGACCAGCCACACUGGAACUGAGACACGGUCCAGACUCCUACGGGAGGCAGCAGUGGGGAAUAUUGCACAAUGGGCGCAAGCCUGAUGCAGCCAUGCCGCGUGUGUGAAGAAGGCCUUCGGGUUGUAAAGCACUUUCAGCGGGGAGGAAGGCGA